GAGACUCUGUGCGCGUGCAUAUCAAUAAGCGGAGGAAAAGAAACUAACAAGGAUUCCCUUAGUAACGGCGAGUGAAGCGGGAAGAGCUCAAAUUUGAAAUCUUCGAGGUUUUACCUUGACGAAUUGUAGUUUAAAGAAGUGUUUUCUGUUAGAGAGGUGGUAAAAGUUCAUUGGAAUAGGACAUCAUAGAGGGUGAGAAUCCCGUAUUUGGUCAUUCUUUCUAGCUUUGUGAUACACUUUCAACGAGUCGGAUUGUUUGGGAAUGCAGUCCAAAAUGGGUGGUAAAUUUCAUCUAAAGCUAAAUAUUGGCGAGAGACCGAUAGCGAACAAGUACCGUGAGGGAAAGAUGAAAAGAACUUUGAAAAGAGAGUUAAACAGUACGUGAAAUUGUCAAAAGGGAAGCGUUUGACACCAGUGUUGUUUUUCCGAAAAUCAAUUACGAAUGUUUUAUUUUUGAGAAGUUAUGACUUCAUCGGCUUGCUUCUCUCUUUAUGAAACUUUCUUAAUGCACUUUUCGGUUAACAAGUCAACAUCAAUUUCUUUUGUUGUAAAAGGGUAUGAGGAAGGUGGCUUUCUUUUCGGAGAAAGUGUUUAUAGCCUUGUACCUCUGCAAUCGGAGAGAUUGAGGUCUGCAGCGUAGAUCCUUCGGGGUUAGAUACAUUUGUGCUAAGUUAUAGCUUUUCAUAGACAACUUGUUGACUAUGUUAAGUCUUGUAGCUUACUCGCUUAUGCUAUUUUACCUACGCUUAGGAUGUUGAAGAUGUAGCACAUCAU
This 774-nucleotide ribosomal RNA is filed under the name uncultured Neocallimastigales. RNAcentral's name for it is "partial large subunit ribosomal RNA". It matches the Rfam family "Eukaryotic large subunit ribosomal RNA", at positions 23 to 643 of the family's 3401-position model. Lineage: Eukaryota; Fungi; Neocallimastigomycota; Neocallimastigomycetes; Neocallimastigales. The record is from RNAcentral.